This 899-nucleotide long non-coding RNA is filed under the name Mytilus galloprovincialis (Mediterranean mussel). Lineage: Eukaryota; Metazoa; Mollusca; Bivalvia; Mytilida; Mytilidae. The record is from RNAcentral.
GUAAGUUAUUGUUAUCAUUCGCAAAUAAUUUUACUUAUCUGUUUAACUAUCACAUGUUAUAGUAAAGUUAUGUAUUUUCUUUAUUCUUAUCAACUACUUUAGUAUUAAUGUGAAUUGCCAUCUAUGAAUUUGGCACGAACAGUUCUGUAAAAGAGGGACGAAAGAUACCAAAGGGACAGUCAAACUCAUAACUCUAAAACAAACCGACAACGCCAUGGCUAAAAAUGCAAAGACAAACAGAAAAACAACAGUACACAUGACACAACUGUAAUUUACUAGAUUUUCGGUUGUUUUAUUGUUUUCUGAAUGAGAUAUAGCUUACAAAAAUAUUGGACCAUGGGAGACUACUGAAAUGUUCUCAAAAUUAUUUUAAAGUCCUCAAAUAUCUGAGUCGGCGUAAAGCUACACCCAAUAAAUCAAUUGAAUAGUCAAAUUCACGAUAUGGGAGGCAACGUUAUAUACAUAGAAAUCAACAUGUUUUUAUAGAUAAAAACUGUCGCAUGCAAAAACAUACAUUAAGGAAAUUUUUGUUUUCACAACAUUUCAUUUCACAUUUAAACUAUUUUUGAGCAAGAAAAUGUGUGUUUAAAAAAAUUUAGAAUUUUUUGGUAUGUCCCUGGUAGAAUUCUGCUUUCCUAAUAGAUGUGCUUUAAGGGCAAAGCUUACUAGUUAAUCAAUGAUUUUAUUAGUUAUGUUGGUGUAAACCCCCUGAUUACACCAUGAUAACCAACGUAUUUCUUACAAGCGUUACUUUUUUACACCGGAUUGUAAAAAUUCAAAAUGAUAAUGAAGAAUGUUCAAUUCAAACUUUUUCAACACUGAUGUAUAUGCACAUAUAGUCAAAUUAUUUUUUAGUUUCGUAAUCUAUUUAUUUUAUUGGGGGGAAGGGGGGAAUAAAU